CCUACGGGAGGCAGCAGUCGAGAAUCAUUCACAAUGGGGGAAACCCUGAUGGUGCGACGCCGCGUGGGGGAAUGAAGGUCUUCGGAUUGUAAACCCCUGUCAUGUGGGAGCAAAUUAAAAAGAUAGUACCACAAGAGGAAGAGACGGCUAACUCUGUGCCAGCAGCCGCGGUAAUACAGAGGUCUCAAGCGUUGUUCGGAUUCACUGGGCGUAAGGCGUGCGUAGGCUGUUUCGUAAGUCGUGUGUGAAAGGCGCGGGCUCAACCCGCGGACGGCACAUGAUACUGCGAGACUAGAGUAAUGGAGGGGGAACCGGAAUUCUCGGUGUAGCAGUGAAAUGCGUAGAUAUCGAGAGGAACACUCGUGGCGAAGGCGGGUUCCUGGACAUUAACUGACGCUGAGGCACGAAGGCCAGGGGAGCGAAAGGGAUUAGAUACCCUUGUAGUC
Molecule: ribosomal RNA, 446 nt
Filed under: uncultured bacterium
Lineage: Bacteria
Description: partial 16S ribosomal RNA
Rfam family: Bacterial small subunit ribosomal RNA
Source: RNAcentral